Molecule: ribosomal RNA, 913 nt
Filed under: uncultured Crocinitomix sp.
Lineage: Bacteria; Pseudomonadati; Bacteroidota; Flavobacteriia; Flavobacteriales; Crocinitomicaceae
Description: bacterial SSU rRNA
Rfam family: Bacterial small subunit ribosomal RNA
Source: RNAcentral
UGCAAGUCGAGGGGCAGCACGAUGUAGCAAUACAUGGGUGGCGACCGGCGCACGGGUGCGUAACACGUAUGGAAUCUGCCUUUUACUGGAGGAUAGCCCGGAGAAAUCCGGAUUAAUACUCCAUAACAAGCGAGGUGGCAUCACCUUGCUUUGAAAGCUCCGGCGGUAAAGGAUGACCAUGCGCACGAUUAGCUAGUUGGUGAGGUAACGGCUCACCAAGGCUACGAUCGUUAGGGGGCCUGAGAGGGUUAUCCCCCACACUGGUACUGAGACACGGACCAGACUCCUACGGGAGGCAGCAGUGAGGAAUAUUGCGCAAUGGAGGCAACUCUGACGCAGCCAUGCCGCGUGCAGGAAGAAGGCGCUACGCGUUGUAAACUGCUUUUAUUCGGGAAGAAACCCCCAGACGUGUCUGGGGUUGACGGUACCGGAGGAAUAAGCACCGGCUAACUUCGUGCCAGCAGCCGCGGUAAUACGAAGGGUGCAAGCGUUAUCCGGAUUCAUUGGGUUUAAAGGGUGCGUAGGCGGAACGUUAAGUCAGUGGUGAAAUCCUGCAGCUCAACUGUAGACUUGCCAUUGAUACUGACGUUCUUGAGUGCGCUUGAAGUAGGCGGAAUGUGCCGUGUAGCGGUGAAAUGCUUAGAUAUGGCACAGAACACCAAUUGCGAAGGCAGCUUACUAAGGCGAUACUGACGCUGAGGCACGAAAGCGUGGGGAUCGAACAGGAUUAGAUACCCUGGUAGUCCACGCCGUAAACGAUGAUCACUCGAGAUUGGCGAUAUACGGUCAGUCUCCUAGCGAAAGCGUUAAGUGAUCCACCUGGGGAGUACGAUCGCAAGAUUGAAACUCAAAGGAAUUGACGGGGGCCCGCACAAGCGGUGGAGCAUGUGGUUUAAUUCGAUGAUACGCGAGG